UUCCUAAUCCUCUUAGUGGCAUUUUCUUUGGAGGAGCACAGGCUCAGCAAAGCACACACCACACUCUAAGCAAUCAGGUAAGCUGUUGACACUACACCUUACAUUGCU
Molecule: long non-coding RNA, 108 nt
Organism: Thalassophryne amazonica
Lineage: Eukaryota; Metazoa; Chordata; Actinopteri; Batrachoidiformes; Batrachoididae
Exons: 4
Source: RefSeq, a predicted model, not a curated record